Molecule: transfer RNA, 83 nt
Filed under: Chrysemys picta bellii (western painted turtle)
Lineage: Eukaryota; Metazoa; Chordata; Testudines; Emydidae
Description: tRNA-Leu (TAA) (tRNA-Leu-TAA-8-1)
Rfam family: tRNA
About the family: Transfer RNA (tRNA) molecules are approximately 80 nucleotides in length. Their secondary structure includes four short double-helical elements and three loops (D, anti-codon, and T loops). Further hydrogen bonds mediate the characteristic L-shaped molecular structure. tRNAs have two regions of fundamental functional importance: the anti-codon, which is responsible for specific mRNA codon recognition, and the 3' end, to which the tRNAs corresponding amino acid is attached (by aminoacyl-tRNA synthetases). tRNAs cope with the degeneracy of the genetic code in two manners: having more than one tRNA (with a specific anti-codon) for a particular amino acid; and 'wobble' base-pairing, i.e. permitting non-standard base-pairing at the 3rd anti-codon position.
Source: Rfam by way of RNAcentral
ACCAGAAUGGCUGAGUGGUUAAGGCGUUGGACUUAAGUUCCAAUAGACAUGUGUCUGCGUGGGUUCACUCCCCAUUUCUGGUA